This 435-nucleotide ribosomal RNA is filed under the name uncultured bacterium. RNAcentral describes it as "partial 16S ribosomal RNA". It matches the Rfam family "Bacterial small subunit ribosomal RNA", at positions 28 to 507 of the family's 1533-position model. The record is from RNAcentral.
GGCGAACGCUGGCGGCAGGCUUAACACAUGCAAGUCGAACGGGCAUCUUCGGAUGUCAGUGGCAGACGGGUGAGUAACACGUGGGAACGUACCCUUCGGUUCGGAAUAACUCAGGGAAACUUGAGCUAAUACCGGAUACGCCCUUUUGGGGAAAGGUUUACUGCCGAAGGAUCGGCCCGCGUCUGAUUAGCUUGUUGGUGGGGUAACGGCCUACCAAGGCGACGAUCAGUAGCUGGUCUGAGAGGAUGAUCAGCCACACUGGGACUGAGACACGGCCCAGACUCCUACGGGAGGCAGCAGUGGGGAAUAUUGGACAAUGGGCGCAAGCCUGAUCCAGCCAUGCCGCGUGAGUGAUGAAGGCCUUAGGGUUGUAAAGCUCUUUUGUCCGGGACGAUAAUGACGGUACCGGAAGAAUAAGCCCCGGCUAACUUCGUG